AUGUGCGGGAAUCUGUCUUCAACCUCUUCAAACUUCUGGUGGGGUGAAACAGAUGGUAAGAAGAAAGUGCAUUGGAUCAGAUGGGAUAAUAUGUGUAUGAGAAAACAUGAUGGAGGCCUUGGUUUUUGAGACCUAGAAGCUUUCAAUCAAGCUAUGCUUGCUAAAAAGGCUUGGCGACUACUACAGGUGCCGGAAUCGUUGUGUGGAAGGGUUUUAAAGGCGAGGUAUUUCCCUGACGGAUCGAUCUUAAAUGCCACUGCCCAGAGGGGGGGGUCAUACACGUUCCGGAGCAUUUUACACGGUCGUGACCUGCUCAAUGAUGGAUUGAUUUGGCGGAUUGGAGAUGGAUCUCAUAUAAAGAUCCACCUUGACAAUUGGUUGCCGAGGAAUGGAAGUCUAAAGCCACUGGGCCUAACGUUACAUAGCGGGGUAUACACACAUGGGGGAUCUACUUGA
This 456-nucleotide ribosomal RNA is filed under the name Triticum aestivum (bread wheat). Its description in RNAcentral is "partial small subunit ribosomal RNA". Lineage: Eukaryota; Viridiplantae; Streptophyta; Magnoliopsida; Poales; Poaceae. The record is from RNAcentral.